Molecule: long non-coding RNA, 301 nt
Filed under: Vigna radiata
Lineage: Eukaryota; Viridiplantae; Streptophyta; Magnoliopsida; Fabales; Fabaceae
Description: long non-coding RNA (VRAD_LNC005690)
Source: RNAcentral
CCUAAAAAGGCCUAAAACGAAAUGAGAGUGGGUGAGUUAUGCAGAAUCCACGCCUGGGCGCCCCAAAAGGGCGUUGGGCGUCCUUUCCUGUUGUUUCCAACAUAAAUGUGACGCCCGGGCGCCCCUAAAGGGUGAUGGGCGCCCUUUUCUGCUAUUGCUUUUGUUUUUGAUAGUUUGGGGGAUUCCGGAUGUCUGUUUUGAACGUUCUUUAGGUCAUUCUGGGGGUUUUUUAUCCUUUCAGAGCCAUUGGUGAGGGUCUCCAAGCUGUUUGAAUUACUUAAGUAUUGAUAAUUAAAAGUCC